RNAcentral lists this ribosomal RNA (433 nucleotides) under uncultured bacterium. RNAcentral describes it as "partial 16S ribosomal RNA". It matches the Rfam family "Bacterial small subunit ribosomal RNA", at positions 29 to 507 of the family's 1533-position model. The record is from RNAcentral.
AACGAACGCUGGCGGCAUGCCUGACACAUGCAAGUCGAACGAGACCUUCGGGUCUAGUGGCGCACGGGUGCGUAACGCGUGGGAACCUGCCUUUAGGUUCGGAAUAACUCAGGGAAAUUUGAGCUAAUACCGGAUGAUGUCUUCGGACCAAAGAUUUAUCGCCUUUAGAUGGGCCCGCGUUGGAUUAGCUAGUUGGUGGGGUAAAGGCCUACCAAGGCGACGAUCCAUAGCUGGUCUGAGAGGAUGAUCAGCCACACUGGGACUGAGACACGGCCCAGACUCCUACGGGAGGCAGCAGUGGGGAAUAUUGGACAAUGGGCGAAAGCCUGAUCCAGCAAUGCCGCGUGAGUGAUGAAGGCCUUAGGGUUGUAAAGCUCUUUUACCCGAGAUGAUAAUGACAGUAGCGGGAGAAUAAGCUCCGGCUAACUCCGUG